CCAAGGAGUCUAACAUGUGCGCGAGUCACUCGGUCUUGAAUAGGCCAGAGAGGCGCAAUGAAAGUAAAGUUGAUUGAGUUACGAUCCUCAUGCAGUCACUCGUAUGGGUGACGGUGGGGCGCAGUAACAGCCCGCCAAUUUCGCUUAUUGACGAUAUGGCGGAGUUGUAGCGUACACGUUGGUACCCGAAAGAUGGUGAACUAUGCCUGGGCAAGACGAAGCCAGAGGAAACUCUGGUGGAGGUCUGUAGCGAUUCUGACGUGCAAAUCGAUCGUCAGACCUGGGUAUAGGGGCGAAAGACUAAUCGAACCAUC
Molecule: ribosomal RNA, 314 nt
Filed under: Nanhermannia cf. coronata ori1769
Lineage: Eukaryota; Metazoa; Arthropoda; Arachnida; Sarcoptiformes; Nanhermanniidae
Also listed under: 14 other names
Description: eukaryotic LSU rRNA
Rfam family: Eukaryotic large subunit ribosomal RNA
Source: RNAcentral